UCUCUCUCUCCAAAAACUCUUCUUCUGAAACCGAGAAGAACUCUUGAAUCUGCUACUAUUUCAGCUCAAAAAAAAAAAAACAAAUGAAAACUUCAUACUUCUAUUCCCUGAUGUUGUAAACAAAACUCAUAUACCAGAAAUCUCGUUUUUCUCUCGCCCUCUCUCUCUCCAAAAACUCUUCUUUUGAAACCGAGAAGAACAUUUGAAUCUGCUACUAUUUCAGCUCAAAAACAACAAAUCAAAACUUCAUAUUUCUAUACCCUGAUGUUGUAAACAAAACCCAUAGAUCAGAAAUCUUGAUCUAUAAACUCUAACUUUGAGAUUUUCGUAACCCUAGAAAAUUUUUUUCCUUAUGUCGGGAACCAUUACACUAAAAAUCUGAUAGUUGAUUGUGCUUCCAACGAUUUGUUUAUCAUCAGGUGGAGAUCAUCAACAGAGUACUCUUGUAUUCCCGGAAGGAAACCCAUUGCCUAGUCUUAAGUCCUUGAUGCUAUUUACGCCAGGAACAUUCACCAUCGGUGUUCAGUAUGCUGAUGCAGCUGAUCAGUUGCAAGUACCAUCGAGGAUUAACCUGUACACGUUUUGAUAGAUUGGUCCUUUUCAAUCCAAUCAUGGCGAGCGUUCAGAGAUGAAUGUUAAAUCCCGAUUGAAUCUCCAUGGCACUGUCUCUAGGUUUACCUCUUGGUAUCUAGUGUGGUAUAGACUGAAGUUUGUUAUAACUCGAUUUAUUUCAUGGAAUUGGAAUGGGUUGUAUGAAGCUUAAAUCAUCUUAAGUUUUCAUCUGCUUCUUCAUGUUAAUGGAACAUUAAUUGACCUUCUUUCAACCAUUUUAUUUAUCUCCUUGGCAUUUUUGAUUUUUCAGUCUUAAUGAGUUUGAGUGUAGGAUCUGAUUAAUACUUCUCUCUAUUGCAUAAAUGACUGCGCACCGAGCCUUCCAGUCUUGUAAGCAGUACAAGAGAACAACUGAAUUCCGUAGGCUUCGCGAAAUAACCAGAAACCAUCUUGCAAAUCUUAACAAAUACAAGGACCAGAGAGACAGACCUGACUUAUUGUUACCAGAAAGCUUACAACUGUACCAAGAUACGAGGUUUGAGCAGCUUAAGGUUGCAACUGAGCUUGAUCUUUGGUAGGAAGCUUUUCGUUCUGUGGAAGACAUUCAUGGUCUGAUGUGUAUGGUAGAAAACUCCCAAGCCAUCCUUGAUGGUCGUUUAUUAUAUGCCAAGCUGGCGGAGAUAUUCCGGGUUUCGACUGUCAACUUUAUAAUGCCUAUCCAUGGUCCAAACUGUUCUCACUUCAGAAAAGUUACAAUAGGCACUUAACCCAGAAGGAUUUGCAGCUAAUCGCAUCCUGUGUUGUAUUAGAUGCUCUUUCCCUAUGAUCUUGGUUAUGGUGCACAUCACAUUUGGAGCUUGACAAUGAGAAGGAGCGCAAUUUGAGAACGGAUAACCUUAUAGGUUUUAGUCUUGACCCUAAAAAUGAUAGGAGAGAAGUGCUUUCAAGGUCAGCGCUUCUCUCGGAACUGCCUCAGGUUUCAGAUAAACAGUGAGAGAUGAUGUUUUGAUUUUCUUGGCAACGUUAAUAAUUUCUCUUUACCUGGGAACACCGAGGGUCAUAUUCUUUGCACUCAACUCCAGCAUAGUGAAAGGUGUUAAGAGUCAUCUGAGUAGCAGGUUCACCAACAGACUGUGCUGCAAUACAACCAAUCAUUUCACCAGGAGCAACUAAUGACUGUAAGAAACGAGACUCAACUUCACCGAUAACCCAAUCAAAUGCUUCACGUGUCAGGUGGUUUUCUUCUGAGCCUCCAUGCUCAUUCUUCUGAGCCUCCAUACUCGCAAAAGUGCUACGCAACAAAAGGUUGAAGAAAAGGGUAGCAUUCUUCUGAGCCUCCAUACUCAUUGAAUCGUUACCAGGAAAAACUUUCAGCCUUUCCUGAAGUUUAUCAAUAGCUUCCACAAUCUCCAUGGAGUGCAUAUCAGAAGACCUUCUCGGGUUUCUUGCUUUUUCCAUGCCAAGUACAAGUCAAGCCAGUCAAAAACCUAUAAAAAGAAUGUGUUUUUCAGUUAUUUGCACUUGUUGCGCUACGUUAUUGGCAGUUUGAUAUGCUGGAAAGACAACUGGAUAUUGUGCCGUUGGGUGUGUGGCAAUAGCUGAUUCUGGAACUUCCUUCUUGGCGGGUUUAAUGGUGCGUAUCAGCCUGUUAAAGAUAUCUAUCAUGUAGAUGGUAACUGGUGCUGGUGUCGCUCGUUAGGAAGGUUAUUUUUCAUUUACUGAUUGAGUAAACUUUUUUGAUUUUUGUUAUUAUAAUUUCAAUUAUAUGAUGGGUUUUUUGUACAACAGAUCUUUGUUACAUGGUUUUGAGUCACUUUUGUCUGUUUAUGUAAUUUUCAGUUGUUUGUAGAAAUGCCUAUGAGAAAUAUAACUCACCGUUGAUGUCAUCUGAUAGUCCAAGUGCAGGUGAUGGUAAAAAUGGUUGUGGGAUUUGGCCGAGGGUAAGAAAUUGUACUCACUUAGCCCCAAUGGUAUUAUUCGUUAACUUCGUGGCGAAAGAUAGCUGUGAGAUUGGAUAGAUGUUGGUAUAUUAGCUUUGUAACUAACGGAAGUAGCUCAGGAUUACGUGUUUGUUUGAAUUCAACAAGUAGUGGAUAUAACUUAUCAGGAUGUCUUGUAUGAUUCCAUCCAGCAAGUUUUUGGCACUGUACUUGCCAUGGAAAUCUGCAUAACAUGAUAAUCAAGAUUAAAAAAGAUGCAACUCUACAGGCGUAGACUUUAUCCCUGCCCAUAAGAAUGAUUGGCAUUAGCUCAAGAACAAAACAGAAAACUCAUAAGUGGCAAAAACUGGUAAAAUCGCUUAUGUAUAUGAUUAAGUUUGGUAUGCUCUCUCUUGUUUUGACAGUUGGCUAUAACAAGACCUAGAGGUGAUCGUGGUAGAGGCGGGUCUAGGGGAAGUCUUGGCAGAGCUACACCUAGUACCAGUUCAGGUAAACUAUUAGUGGUGAAGGGGAGCUUCACCAAAGACGAGUGUUGGAACUGGAACAACUACGGGUGGUGGAACAACAUGUAACAACAGAAGGUUAGGCUAAUCAUAGUACCAGUUCAGGUAAACUAUUAGUGGUUAAGGGGAGCUUCACCAAAUACAAGUGCUGGAACUGGAACAACUAGGGGGGGUGGAACAACAUGUAACAACAGAAGGUUAGGCUAAUCAUAGUUUCAAAUUCAGAAACUUGUGUUUAUAAUAACAUUUGGGAUUUUGCAUAAGUUGUUUAAUAUUUGUAUGGGUUUAUGGUUUAUAUAUCUAC
Papaver somniferum (opium poppy) is the source of this 3299-nucleotide long non-coding RNA. RefSeq lists it as uncharacterized. The record is from RefSeq and is a predicted model, not a curated record. NCBI's taxonomy places the organism in Eukaryota, Viridiplantae, Streptophyta, Magnoliopsida, Ranunculales, Papaveraceae. The transcript is spliced from 10 exons.